Molecule: ribosomal RNA, 1467 nt
Filed under: metagenome
Description: bacterial SSU rRNA
Rfam family: Bacterial small subunit ribosomal RNA
Source: RNAcentral
AGAGUUUGAUCUCGGCUCAGGAUUAACGCUGGCGGUGUGCUUUAUGCAUGCAAGUCGUACGGUUCUUCUCGCAAGGGAAGGACAGUGGCAAACGGGUGAGUAAUGCGUGAGUAACCUGCCCUUAAGUAGGGGAUAACUCUGAGAAAUCAGAGCUAAUACCUUAUGUGGUGAUGAGGGUAAAGCUUCAUCACUAAAGUCUUCGGGCGCUUAAGGAUGGGCUUGCGUUCGAUUAGCUAGUUGGUAAGGUAACGGCCUACCAAGGCGAUGAUCGAUAGCUGGUCUAAGAGGAUGAUCAGCCACACUGGGAUUGAGACACGGCCCAGACUCCCACGGGAGGCAGCAGCAAGGAAUUUUGUGCAAUGGGCGAAAGCCUGACACAGCGACACCGCGUGGGGGAAGACAGCCUUCGGGUCGUAAACCCCUUUUCUCGGGGAAGAAUAAUGACGGUACUCGAGGAAUAAGCCACGGCUAACUAUGUGCCAGCAGCCGCGGUAACACAUAGGUGGCAAGCGUUAUCCGGAUUUAUUGGGCGUAAAGAGGGCGUGGGCGGCUUUGUAAGUCGGAUGUGAAAUCUCCCGGCUCAACUGGGAGGGGUCAUUCGAUACUGCUGAGCUAGAGGGCAGCACAGGGAGGUGGAAUUCCCGGUGUAGUGGUGAAAUGCGUAGAUAUCGGGAGGAACACCAGCGGCGAAGGCGGCCUCCCAGGCUGUUGCUGACGCUAAAGCCCGAAAGCGCGGGGAGCAAACAGGAUUAGAUACCCUGGUAGUCCACGCUGUAAACGAUGGACACUAGAUAUAGGGGGUAUCGACCCUCUCUGUGUCGAAGCUAAUGCGCUAAGUGUCCCGCCUGGGGAGUACGGUCGCAAGGCUAAAACUCAAAGGAAUUGACGGGGGCCCGCACAAGCAGCGGAGCGUGUGGUUUAAUUCGAUGCAACACGAAGAACCUUACCAAGGCUUAACAUGACGGAAGUAGUGACCCGAAAGGUGAACGACCUGUUGAGUCAGGAGCCGCCAUAGGUGCUGCAUGGCUGUCGUCAGCUCGUGCCGUGAGGUGUUCGGUUAAGUCCUGCAACGAGCGCAACCCUCGUUGCCAGUUGUCUUCUCUGGCAAGACUGCCCCGCAAAACGGGGAGGAAGGUGGGGAUGACGUCAAGUCAGCACGGCCUUUAUGCCUUGGGCCACACACACGCUACAAUGGAUGGUACAAUGGGCAGCCACAGAGCGAUCUGGAGCCAAUCCCCAAAGCCAUCCUCAGUUCGGAUUGCAGGCUGAAACUCGCCUGUAUGAAGUUGGAGUUGCUAGUAACCGCAUAUCAGCAUGUUGCGGUGAAUACGUUCUCGGGCCUUGUACACACCGCCCGUCACGUCAUGAAAGUCGGCAAUGCCUGAAGUCGAUGGGCUAACUCUUAUUUAUAAGAGGGGUAGUCGCCGAGGGCAGGGCUGAUAAUUGGGACGAAGUCGUAACAGGGUA